Molecule: ribosomal RNA, 1329 nt
Filed under: Staphylococcus warneri
Lineage: Bacteria; Bacillati; Bacillota; Bacilli; Caryophanales; Staphylococcaceae
Description: partial 23S ribosomal RNA
Rfam family: Bacterial large subunit ribosomal RNA
Source: RNAcentral
GAUUAAGUUAUUAAGGGCGCACGGUGGAUGCCUUGGCACUAGAAGCCGAUGAAGGACGUUACUAACGACGAUAUGCUUUGGGGAGCUGUAAGUAAGCGUUGAUCCAGAGAUUUCCGAAUGGGGAAACCCAGCAUGAGUUAUGUCAUGUUAUCGAUAUGUGAAUACAUAGCAUAUCAGAAGGCAGACCCGGAGAACUGAAACAUCUUAGUACCCGGAGGAAGAGAAAGAAAAAUCGAUUCCCUGAGUAGCGGCGAGCGAAACGGGAAGAGCCCAAACCAACAAGCUUGCUUGUUGGGGUUGUAGGACACUCUAUACGGAGUUACAAAAGUAUAUAUUAGACGAAUCAUCUGGAAAGUUGAAUCAAAGAAGGUAAUAAUCCUGUAGUCGAAAAUAUAUACUCUCUUGAGUGGAUCCUGAGUACGACGGAGCACGUGAAAUUCCGUCGGAAUCUGGGAGGACCAUCUCCUAAGGCUAAAUACUCUCUAGUGACCGAUAGUGAACCAGUACCGUGAGGGAAAGGUGAAAAGUACCCCGGAAGGGGAGUGAAAGAGAACUUGAAACCGUGUGCUUACAAGUAGUCAGAGCCCGUUAAUGGGUGAUGGCGUGCCUUUUGUAGAAUGAACCGGCGAGUUACGAUUUGAUGCAAGGUUAAGCAGCUAAUGUGGAGCCGUAGCGAAAGCGAGUCUGAAUAGGGCGUUUAGUAUUUGGUCGUAGACCCGAAACCAGGUGAUCUACCCUUGGUCAGGUUGAAGUUCAGGUAACACUGAAUGGAGGACCGAACCGACUUACGUUGAAAAGUGAGCGGAUGAACUGAGGGUAGCGGAGAAAUUCCAAUCGAACUUGGAGAUAGCUGGUUCUCUCCGAAAUAGCUUUAGGGCUAGCCUCAAGUGAUGAUUAUUGGAGGUAGAGCACUGUUUGGACGAGGGGCCCUUCUCGGGUUACCGAAUUCAGACAAACUCCGAAUGCCAAUCAAUUUAACUUGGGAGUCAGAACAUGGGUGAUAAGGUCCGUGUUCGAAAGGGAAACAGCCCAGACCACCAGCUAAGGUCCCAAAAUAUAUGUUAAGUGGAAAAGGAUGUGGCGUUGCCCAGACAACUAGGAUGUUGGCUUAGAAGCAGCCAUCAUUUAAAGAGUGCGUAAUAGCUCACUAGUCGAGUGACACUGCGCCGAAAAUGUACCGGGGCUAAACAUAUUACCGAAGCUGUGGAUUGUCCGUAGGACAAUGGUAGGAGAGCGUUCUAAGGGCGUCGAAGCAUGAUCGCAAGGACAUGUGGAGCGCUUAGAAGUGAGAAUGCCGGUGUGAGUAGCGAAAGACGGGUGAGAAUCCCG